Molecule: long non-coding RNA, 1710 nt
Filed under: Citrus x clementina
Lineage: Eukaryota; Viridiplantae; Streptophyta; Magnoliopsida; Sapindales; Rutaceae
Description: Citrus clementina (C. clementina) long non-coding RNA (CCLE_LNC003238)
Source: RNAcentral
UAACGCAAAUAUGUAUUUGUGUAAAGAAUUUUUAGAAAAAAAAUGUAUUUAACAAGAGUUUAAUUAGACAUUUAGUGUCCUUGGAGAUAAAUGUCAAUAAAAUCUAAAAUUGUAAUAUAAUAAAAAAAUGAAAAUUUUAGAGGGUAAAAAAUAAAUUUGCCAAAGUAAAAGAACAAAUUAAGACAGCGAUAGAAAAGAAGGUUUAGGUCGAGCCAUGUCCCCUUGACUGGGGAGACGAAACAUGUCACAAGACUCACAACACCACUAACGAUGUAUAUAAAUAGUGCGUUUACUAAUUAAUAAUUGGAAUGAGUUAGAAUAUGAAUGACAUAGAAUCUGAAUGAAGAAAAUAGGAAUUCGAAUAAAUUGUUUACUUAGGCAAUAAGAAUCUGAAUCGAAAUCGGAAUGAAUUACUAUGAAUUACAAAAACAUCCUUAAUUUAUUAUUACCAUUAUUUUUAUUACUUAUUACGUGAUUAUGGUUGUUAUUAUUAUUAAGAAAAUUAUUGUUAAUAAUAAUAAUGGUUAUAGUGAUAAUAAUUUUUUUUGUUUUUUUAUGAUUAUUUAUCUCUCUUUUUUUCUCCAUUUUCUCUUCUUCUUCUCCUUUUUUUUCUUUCUGUCUUUUCUGCAAUUUCUUUGUUACUUCUCUAUCAUCAAUUUCAUCUUCUUCAUCAACAUCAUUAUCAUCACAAUUAUCUUUUUCUUCAUCAACAUCAAAAUUUAGUUUCGUCUUCAUCAUCGUCAUCACAAUUACAUCAUCAAUAAUAAUCAUCACCAUCAUCAAUCAUCAUCAUUAUUGUCAUAAGAAAUUCAUCAUCAUGGUUUCUUUGGUUCCAAGUGAUAGAGACGAGAUGUGUUUGUCUGCAAUGUUAAGGAUUUCGUGGGUUUUUUUUGUAUUUUUUACUUGUAAAGAGAGCAUUUUGGGAAAAUUAAAAAUAUAAUGGGGAUAGUUUUGUCAUUAGAGGAAUAAAGUUCAUAUUCCCAAACCCCCACUGGAAUCAGAACUCUAAUAAUCAAACUUGAUUUUGUAUAGGUCGCAACACUUCAUUCCCAUUUCCAACAUCAAUUUUAACAAAUAAACAAUUUAUUCAUUCCUUUUUCUUCAUUUUGAUUCCCAUUACGGUUUAAUAAAUUGGCCAAGAAUGUAUAUGUAGUGACAAUAUUUGCAAUCAUUUUCAAUUUCUCAAAAAACUUAAUCUUGAUUCCUAAAGAUAUUAUGGAUGGUGCUGUCACGGAGACAGAGAUUGCCAACAAAUAAGCAACAUCAUAGGCAGAAGUUAAUGAAUCAUCAAUAGAUUGAUGCAGCCUCAACCCAAGCCUUUGAAGGAGGAGCGGGAUAGUUAAGUUUAAUUGCAAUUCUGAAUCUCUCUUGAGUAUCUAUUAUUAUUAUUGUUUGUUUGUUUGUUUUAGGUCAAUUUACUUAAUUAUGAUUUUAACAUUAAAUGAAGCAAUACCUAUUCAAAUAAUGCUCACUUUCCUACAUUGUGAUGGACUCAACUACCUUACAACAGUUGCAAGGUACCACCAUUUUGUUUUUUUGUAAUUUUAAUCAUUGACUAUUAGAUUCAAUGAAAACAUAGUUUUAAUAGUAGAGAUUUAUCGAUUUGAAUAUUAACAUUAAACUCCCUGAAAUUUAUCAAAAACUCAAAAAAAUUAAAACUUUUAGCACAUAAGUUCGAAUUGUUUAAUUAGUAGUGAGUCUCAAAAAAUA